GCCGAAAUGGCUCAGUUGGGAGAGCGUUAGACUGAAGAUCUAAAGGUCCCUGGUUCGUUCCCGGGUUUUCGGCG
RNAcentral lists this transfer RNA (74 nucleotides) under Rhipicephalus microplus (southern cattle tick). Its description in RNAcentral is "tRNA-Phe". It matches the Rfam family "tRNA". From Rfam's summary of the family: Transfer RNA (tRNA) molecules are approximately 80 nucleotides in length. Their secondary structure includes four short double-helical elements and three loops (D, anti-codon, and T loops). Further hydrogen bonds mediate the characteristic L-shaped molecular structure. tRNAs have two regions of fundamental functional importance: the anti-codon, which is responsible for specific mRNA codon recognition, and the 3' end, to which the tRNAs corresponding amino acid is attached (by aminoacyl-tRNA synthetases). tRNAs cope with the degeneracy of the genetic code in two manners: having more than one tRNA (with a specific anti-codon) for a particular amino acid; and 'wobble' base-pairing, i.e. permitting non-standard base-pairing at the 3rd anti-codon position. Lineage: Eukaryota; Metazoa; Arthropoda; Arachnida; Ixodida; Ixodidae. The record is from Rfam by way of RNAcentral.